This 1022-nucleotide long non-coding RNA is filed under the name Fragaria vesca (wild strawberry). Its description in RNAcentral is "long non-coding RNA (FVES_LNC004171)". Lineage: Eukaryota; Viridiplantae; Streptophyta; Magnoliopsida; Rosales; Rosaceae. The record is from RNAcentral.
GUUGACCGUUUCGAUCGAGCCCUUAACGUUGUCGGAUCCAGUUGAAUUUUUUACCAUAGACAUCUUUCGUCAUAAUGAUCAUAUUUGACGGUCGAAUUUUGGUUUGUGAAUUUUAGUCAUUGGAAUCACAACGUGUCUACUAAUGUUGUAUAACUUGUUUAGUAGGUUAUACAACUUUGUAAACCAACUCUACAUAGGAAGCAAAAUUAUCAAAAAUCUCGUGAAAUAAGAUGUGUUCAUAAUGGUUAAAUACGGCUAUGGUUCAAAAAUCACGUAAAUCGGGUAACGUCUCGGUGCCAAUAGUACCGGUCAACCCUAUUUACCGUUAUUAUUCCUUAUGGGGAGCCCUAUCGUCAGAAGGUAAAUGUCUCAAAAAUUUUAUAUAGGCGGUUGCGUCUCAUCUACAUGAGAGUUUUUCGUGUGGAAAGUUUGACCAAACUAUGUAAUAUAGAGGGAGAUACGAGCGUUUUCGUGAAUUUAUAGACUUAGCCGACGAAAUAUUAAAAAAGUCAUCGGCUAAGGUCAAAAAUUGUUUGGCGGUAAACCAAAUUUGGAGGAAAAUUUUCAAAUGACUUUAGCUGACGGAAAUAUAUGAAAAGUCGUCGGCUAAAGUCGAAAAAAAAUUUGGCGGCAAACCAAAUUUGGGAGAAAAUUUUCAAAAUUUUCAAAGGACUUUAGCCGAUGAGUUUCAUUACUUUAGCCAACGAAUUUCACAGGUUUCGUCGGCUAAAGUCUGUUUCCGCCAAAAAUUUUGGAAAAUUUCAAACUUCCUUUUAAAUUUUUAGCUCUCUCUUUAACCUACUCCCCUCAAACAUCUUAUCUUCUUCUUUCUCUCAUCAAGAACUUCACCCAAUAACUUUUUCUUUCUCUUCCCCACCGAAACAAACCCACUCCCUCUCUCUUUCCUCUCCCUCUUCUCCUCCUCCUCUCCCUCUCCUCCCUCUUCCAACUCCUUAGAUCGAUCUGAUUCCUCCACUCCCCGACUCACCACCUCCUCCUCUCCCCCAUUUCCGCCUCCAUUC